Molecule: ribosomal RNA, 303 nt
Filed under: uncultured bacterium
Lineage: Bacteria
Description: partial 16S ribosomal RNA
Rfam family: Bacterial small subunit ribosomal RNA
Source: RNAcentral
AGCAGUAGCCACGGUAAAACGUAGGGUGCGAGCGUUAAUCGGAAUUACUGGGCGUAAAGCGUGCGCAGGCGGUUCGUUAAGACAGAUGUGAAAUCCCCGGGCUUAACCUGGGAACUGCAUUUGUGACUGGCGAGCUAGAGUAUGGCAGAGGGGGGUAGAAUUCCACGUGUAGCAGUGAAACGCGUAGAGAUGUGGAGGAAUACCGAUGACGAAGGCAGCCCCCUGGGCCAAUACUGACGCUCAUGCACGAAAGCGUGGGGAGCAAACAGGAUUAGAUACCCCCGUAGUCCCUGUCUCUUAUAC